CCAGGCCCUACGGGGCGCAGCAGUCGCGAAAACUUCACAAUGGAGGCAACUCCGAUGAGGGAAUUCCUAGUGCUAGUACAUUAGUAUUAGCUUUUCUUUAGUAUAGAACGCUAAAGGAAUAAGGGCUGGGUAAGACGGGUGCCAGCCGCCGCGGUAAUACCCGCAGCCCAAGUGGUGGUCGAUUUUAUUGAGUCUAAAACGUUCGUAGCCGGUUCAUUAAAUCCUUGGGUAAAUCGGGAAGCUUAACUUUCCGACUUCCGAGGAGACUGGUGAACUUGGGACCGGGAGAGGCAAGAGGUACUUCUGGGGUAGGGGUAAAAUCCUGUAAUCCUAGAAGGACCACCGGUGGCGAAGGCGUCUUGCUAGAACGGAUCCGACGGUGAGGGACGAAGCCCUGGGUCGCAAACGGGAUUAGAUACCCCGGUAGUCCAGGGUGUAAACGCUGCAGACUUGGUGUUGGGGACCCUUCGGGGGUGUUCAGUGCCGGAGAGAAGUUGUUAAGUCUGCUACUUGGGGAGUACGUCCGCAAGGAUGAAACUUAAAGGAAUUGGCGGGGGAGCACCGCAACGGGAGGAACGUGCGGUUUAAUUGGAGUCAACGCCGG
Molecule: ribosomal RNA, 604 nt
Filed under: uncultured archaeon
Lineage: Archaea
Description: bacterial SSU rRNA
Rfam family: Archaeal small subunit ribosomal RNA
Source: RNAcentral